Molecule: ribosomal RNA, 531 nt
Filed under: uncultured Thermomonosporaceae bacterium
Lineage: Bacteria; Bacillati; Actinomycetota; Actinomycetes; Streptosporangiales; Thermomonosporaceae
Description: bacterial SSU rRNA
Rfam family: Bacterial small subunit ribosomal RNA
Source: RNAcentral
UGGGGAAUAUUGCGCAAUGGGCGAAAGCCUGACGCAGCAACGCCGCGUGGGGGAUGAAGGCCUUCGGGUUGUAAACCCCUUUCAGCAGGGACGAAGCGAAAGUGACGGUACCUGCAGAAGAAGCGCCGGCUAACUACGUGCCAGCAGCCGCGGUAAUACGUAGGGCGCAAGCGUUGUCCGGAAUCAUUGGGCGUAAAGAGCUCGUAGGUGGUCUGUUACGUCUGCUGUGAAAACCUAGGGCUUAACCCUGGGCCUGCAGUGGAUACGGGCAGACUAGAGGUAGGUAGGGGAGAAUGGAAUUCCCGGUGUAGCGGUGAAAUGCGCAGAUAUCGGGAGGAACACCGGUGGCGAAGGCGGUUCUCUGGGCCUUACCUGACACUGAGGAGCGAAAGCGUGGGGAGCGAACAGGAUUAGAUACCCUGGUAGUCCACGCCGUAAACGUUGGGCGCUAGGUGUGGGGUCCUUCCACGGAUUCCGUGCCGCAGCUAACGCAUUAAGCGCCCCGCCUGGGGAGUACGGCCGCAAGGCUAA